AGGACGAACGCUGGCGGCGUGCUUAACACAUGCAAGUCGAGCGGAAAGGCCACUUCGGUGGUACUCGAGCGGCGAACGGGUGAGUAACACGUGAGUAAUCUGCCCCUGGCUUUGGGAUAGCCACCGGAAACGGUGAUUAAUACCGGAUACGACAUGGACUCGCAUGGGUUUGUGUGGAAAGUUUUUCGGCCAGGGAUGUGCUCGCGGCCUAUCAGCUUGAUGGUGAGGUAAUGGCUCACCAUGGCUUCGACGGGUAGCCGGCCUGAGAGGGUGACCGGUCAACACUGGGACUGAGACACGGCCCAGACUCCUACGGGAGGCAGCAGUGGGAAUAUUGGACAAUGGGCGGAAGCCUGAUCCAGCCAACGCCGCGUGAGGAUGACGGCCUUCGGGUUGUAAACCUCUUUACAGUAACCGACGAAGCGACAAGUGACGGUAGUACAAGAAGAAGCAACCGGCCAACUACGUGACCAGCAGCCGAC
Molecule: ribosomal RNA, 482 nt
Filed under: uncultured soil bacterium
Lineage: Bacteria
Description: bacterial SSU rRNA
Rfam family: Bacterial small subunit ribosomal RNA
Source: RNAcentral